Molecule: long non-coding RNA, 1220 nt
Filed under: Ovis aries (sheep)
Lineage: Eukaryota; Metazoa; Chordata; Mammalia; Artiodactyla; Bovidae
Description: lncRNA (ENSOARG00000026724.1)
Source: RNAcentral
CUGAUGAAGUCUUUUAGAAGAAAGGAUGUGCUUAAUUUAUCUUUAUAUCUGAAGUGUCUUUUCCAUGGGGAUGUUCUUGAUGCCUGUCUCCUGUACAAUGUCACGAACCUCAUUCCAUAGUUCAUCAGGCACUCUAUCUAUCAGAUCUAGGCUCUUAAAUCUAUUUCUCACUUCCACUGUAUAAUCAUAAGGGACUUGAUUUAGGUCAUACCUGAAUGGUCUAGUGGUUUUCCCUAUUUUCUUCAAUUUCAUUCUGAAUUUGGUAAUAAGGAAUUCAUGAUCUGAGCCACAGUCAGCUCCUGGUCUUGUUUUUGUUGACUGUAUAGAGCUUCUCCAUCUUUGGCUGCAAAGAAUAUAACCAAUCUGAUUUCGGUGUUGACCAUCUGGUGAUGUCCAUGUGUAGAGUCUUCUCUUGUGUUGUUGGAAGAGGGUGUUUGCUAUGACCAGUGCAUUUUCUUGGCAAAACUCUAUUAGUCUUUGCCCUGCUUCAUUCCGCAUUCCAAGGCCAAAUUUGCCUGUUACUCCAGGUGUUUCUUGACUUCCUACUUUUGCAUUCCAGUCCCCUAUAAUGGUCAUGUAUGGAUGUGAGAGCUGGACUGUGAAGAAGGCUGAGCGCCGAAGAAUUGAUGCUUUUGAACUGUGGUGUUGGAGAAGACUCUUGAGAGUCCCUUGGACUGCAAGGAGAUCCAACCAGUCCAUUCUGAAGGAGUUCAACCCUGGGAUUUCUUUGGAGGGAAUGAUGCUACAGCUGAAACUCCAGUACUUUGGCCACCUCAUGUGAAGAGUUGACUCACUGGAAAAGACUCUGAUGCUGGGAGGGAUUGGGGGCAGUAGGAGAAAGGGACGACAGAGGAUGAGAUGGCUGGAUGGCAUCACAGACCCGAUGGACAUGAGUCUGAGUGAACUCCGGGAGAUGGUGAUGAACAGGGAGGCCUGGCGUGCUGUGAUUCAUGGGGUCGCAAAGAGUCGGACACGACUGAGAGACUGAACUGAACUGAACUGAAUCCAGUCACAUUAUUUGUGAGCCUUAAAAUAUCUUUUUAUGGCUAAAAAGUUUUCUGCUUUCUCUGAUUAUGUUAUAGGGUUGAUUGUUUAAGGUUAAGUAUUAAUUUUUAAACAGGUACGUUAAAACGAUGUUUGUUUAUUAUUCUGAGUACUCACAUACUUGCUGAUAGAGACAAUAUAUAAAGUUGUACAAAAAGCAGGUCAGUGUGUUGAUG